RNAcentral lists this ribosomal RNA (468 nucleotides) under uncultured bacterium. RNAcentral describes it as "bacterial SSU rRNA". It matches the Rfam family "Bacterial small subunit ribosomal RNA", at positions 328 to 792 of the family's 1533-position model. The record is from RNAcentral.
UAGCCAGACUCCUACGGGAGGCAGCAGUGAGGAAUAUUGGUCAAUGGUCGGGAGACUGAACCAGCCAAGCCGCGUGAGGGAGGAAGGUACAGAGUAUCGUAAACCUCUUUUGUCAGGGAACAAAGGCGGGGACGUGUCCCCGGAUGAGUGUACCUGAAGAAAAAGCAUCGGCUAACUCCGUGCCAGCAGCCGCGGUAAUACGGGGGAUGCAAGCGUUAUCCGGAUUUAUUGGGUUUAAAGGGUGCGUAGGCUGUGAGGUAAGUCAGCGGUGAAAUGCCCCCGCUCAACGGGGUGAAGUGCCAUUGAUACUGCCUUGCUGGAAUGCGGAUGCCGUGGGAGGAAUGUGUGGUGUAGCGGUGAAAUGCAUAGAUAUCACGCAGAACUCCGAUUGCGAAGGCAGCAUACCGGCGCUCAACUGACGCUCAUGCACGAAAGCGUGGGUAUCGAACAGGAUUAGAUACCCCAGUA